Molecule: unclassified non-coding RNA, 745 nt
Filed under: Hevea brasiliensis (rubber tree)
Lineage: Eukaryota; Viridiplantae; Streptophyta; Magnoliopsida; Malpighiales; Euphorbiaceae
Source: RNAcentral
GCUUUGCAAGCUUCUCAAAUUCUUCCCUAGUUGCCUUAAUAUCUAGAGGCUGAUCUUCGUUGGGGCCAAAAAUGGAUGGGAAAUAAUCAGGAAUAACAAAUCCUAGAAUAAGGUUAGCAUCAGUAACUGCCAAUUCCCCUCCUUUCCGAUAACAAACGGGCCCUGGGUGGGCACCCACUGAUUCUGGUCCUACCCGGAAAGCACCAAAUUGGAACUUCAACUUUGAUCCACCACCAGCAGCAACAGUAUUUAUAUCAAGCUGAGGUGCUUGUAUUAUGGCGCCAGCAAUCUGGGUUUCAAUAACUUGUUCAUAAAUCCCAGCAUAUCGGCUUACAUCAGUAGAUGUACCACCCAUAUCAAACCCAAUAAGGGGCUUUUCUGUUUCAAGUCCGAAAAGAGUCUGUGAGUAACCAACAACUCCACCUGCAGGACCUGAUAAAACGGCUUUAUGUCCUGAAAAUCUACUUUCAGGUGCAAGUCCUCCAUCUGAUUGCAUAAAUAGAACAUUCACCUUCCCCAGCCCGUCAUCAAAUCUAGAAAUGAACCCUGAUAAGUACUCUUUGAUGACAGGGGUCAAGUAAGCAUCCACACUAGCUGUUAGACCCCUAGGAACAGCUCGAACCAUAGGGCUCAAAGCUGAAGACAAGGAAACAUGUCUGAAACCCAAACUCACGGCUAACUUUUCCACAGCUAUUUCAUGCUGUGGAAAAGUGUAAGAAUGCAACAAUACAACGGCCAAACAGCU